CCUGGAGCCCCUUCCUCUUUUGUCUGAUGGCCCGAAGACGGUCUCCGUCAAGAGCCAGGUCAAAUGUCCCUUUUGCUCUGUAUCCUCGAGUGACCUUCCCCAGUGCUGGACAAGCUCCCGCGCUCCUUCCAUGGGCUCGGUGGCGGAAGUUCAGUUUUCCUUGAUCCUGUUCACCUGCUGUCCGCCCCCACCGUGACAGCACAUUUCCUCCCCGGCCGUGAGCUCCUGGGACACCAGCCAGGGCUGGCUGUUGGAGGGACGACUUAGCGAUGCCUCGUGCACAGAGAGCCCUCAGCAAACUCCAGGCAUUGUUUGAUCCGGAGCAGAAAGACUGCAUGGCCCAUGCCCCUUGGGUCCACGCAGUGAGGCCUGUGCAUCUGUGGUCUCCAGGGAACCAACCACCAGCCAGCCCCCUGGGAAGCCCGUCUCUCUCUCUGUGCUGCUGUGGGGGCACCUUCUCUGCGGGGAGACUGGACCUCCUCCGAAUCCCCCCCGCUGCUCUCCGGCAAAGACAGAGUCCACGCGUGGCCCCCCGUGACUCAGUGACUCCUCCCAUCGGAAGAAUGGGGACAAGCACAGAGCACAGAGCGCCCGCCGUGGGAACGCCAAGAGGACGUGAUGAACGCCCAGUGUGGCACCUGACUUUGGCCACUCGAGAAAUACGGGUGAUGCCCCACACUCGUGCGGGUUCUUCACAACCACGUGUCUCUCUUGAGUGUAAGGGAUGAUGAGUGUGGUCUGUCAGGAGAGGUGGUUUUUCUCAUCUCAUGGAUGGGGAGACAGGUCCAGAGAAGAGAGGUGACUUGCCCAAGGCCAAGACCAAGCGAGGAAAAAAAUAAGACUUGAACCCAAAUCUCGGAGCCCGUCCUCUCUGACUCGUUAGGACCCUCCAUGCUCCUUUCUUCCUCCCAUUGCAGACGUUCAGUGAGCACCUGCUGUCGUGGUCUGUGCCAGAUGCUGGGAGCCUGGUCCUUGCCGUCAGAGCUGUGGGAUGACUUUCGUGAUUCCGGGGCACUUAGCCUCCGUGGGUCCCUUCCACCACAGCAGGCAUAAAAAAUUGUUUUAUGAUGGUGUUGUUUUCCAGCCUGGAUCACAUUCAUAUUUUCCUUCUCACUUUAAG
RNAcentral lists this long non-coding RNA (1120 nucleotides) under Vulpes vulpes (red fox). RNAcentral's name for it is "lncRNA (ENSVVUG00000015732.1)". Lineage: Eukaryota; Metazoa; Chordata; Mammalia; Carnivora; Canidae. The record is from RNAcentral.